Molecule: long non-coding RNA, 895 nt
Organism: Triticum aestivum (bread wheat)
Lineage: Eukaryota; Viridiplantae; Streptophyta; Magnoliopsida; Poales; Poaceae
Exons: 6
Source: RefSeq, a predicted model, not a curated record
CUUCCUUCUCUCUUAAUUUGGUGCAGCAGCCGCUGUCGGUCAAGUUCUUGGUGGAGAUGCAGCUGAUGCUCAAAGUGAUUCAUCAGGGAGGACCUCCGCCAGUAGAGGGAUGGCUUCUGUCCAAAGGCUCAGGUAUUGUUAUUGAACUACAAGAUAAUGUUGUUGGUCUUCCCAGAACAAAAAAAGUGUUUUUGACACUACCAUCGAUGGGGUCUUCAGCGCUUUAACCAUUGAAGCUUCUGAAGAUUCUAUCAAAGCAUGUGGGUUUAUAUUGGUUCUACAUUAGAGGAUUAAAUUGUAAACUGCUAGCAGAGCUACACUGCGGACUACAGAGUUGAUCUGAAUCUCUGCUAUUGUGUGCUGCUUCUACUUGAAUAAAAGCUGAUAUUGCCAUGAUCCUUAGUCAUGUGUUCUUAAAAGAAAGGGUUUUGCAUGGACAGAUGGAAUCAAAAAUCUUGGGAACCUGAUAGCAUUCAUUUUUUUAUCCUGGGUGCUGCUAGAUCCUGUGUAACUGGAUGUUCUUUUCGAUGUAAGCGGAACCAUGCCCAUGCGACGGUACUGAACAAAGUUGCGCACAUGGUUGUGGACUCUGGACACUCUACACAAAAGAAAUUUGUAUAAAUGUACAACGCUCUGUUUGAAGCCUCCUCAUAUGAUAUUGGAAGGAACUCGAGCGGAAGGCCGCCGGCGGAGCCUGUAUCAGAGGACAUGGAAGAAAUUAGCCCAAGCCCAAUGAAACUUCUCUCUGAAGCAAUGCCUAUUUAUUGCUUUUGUGUUGGUACUUUCAGUUCUUUGAGAUUCCCAUUUGUGCAAAAACAUCAGUGAUGUGGCAGAGAAGGUGGAUUGUAGCAGCAAUGUGAAAGUAUGUACAUAACAAUUUGCCUAACAAAUGAGA